Molecule: non-coding RNA, 138 nt
Organism: Corchorus olitorius
Lineage: Eukaryota; Viridiplantae; Streptophyta; Magnoliopsida; Malvales; Malvaceae
Source: Rfam
GUUGAUGGGAAUGUUGUUUGGCUCGAGGUCAUGUAGGUUGAUUUUGUCAUGUCCAUGAAAUUUUCUAGGAUUUUACUUUCCCGGGAAAGUUUCUGGAUAGCCCUAUAUGAUCUCGGACCAGGCUUCAUUCCCGUCAAC